AGAAAAAGUCUUCCGCAGUUUGUGACACGGUACCGGCCUCCUGAUGCUCUGGAGUCUGAACUCUUGUUUGUGAAAACUGGAAAGUUUCACUCUGGUCCUUACAGGAACCCAAAGCCCCACAAUUUUAGACCGCUGAACGAAGAUCUUCCAGAAGUAACAACUUCAUGUGAAAAAGACCCCGGCAAUCUGAAGUGGAAAAUAAAUCACUUGGACACAUGUAAGUGGAGAGCCUUCCUCCAUUCAUCCCCUGUUUGUUGUGGGUUUUGAAUGUUAUGGGUUUGCUUCUAAAGUAGGACACUGUAAUUCACUCUCACAAAAGCGUUUUGUGUCAGGAAGAAGUGAAGAGGAGACACAACAAAGGGAAAUGAAUGCAAGAAUGAAUAAAGACUGGGGUUUUUUUCCAGUGCGGAGCAGCAGAUCUGAGGCAGACUUUACUCUCAGAGACCCUACGGCACAGAUGAGGACGUUGAAACGAGCAGAGCCGAAGUGGGAUUCGAAGCUCAUUCUGCCUCCACUGCCCUGGCCUCCAAAAUCAGCUUCCUAUACGAGACAUCGACGAAGAAGAGGAGCAUACAGCGCCUUUCUGGACCGAGUGGAGAAGAAACUAUGGGGGAAUAGAUAAUACAUCAUGUCAUAUUUUAUAUGUUUAAGAACCAGAAUCCUGUGGUUAUACUGUAUACUGUUAAGUACUAAGUAGUUGGUUUUUAGUUUUAAUACUAGUGUCUUUUUUUUUUUUCCAAAGAUUUAUUUGUAGUUCAGACUACCUACAUAGAACGUAAGUCUUGGAGGAAACCUG
This is a long non-coding RNA of Salarias fasciatus (jewelled blenny), 796 nucleotides long. RefSeq lists it as uncharacterized. The transcript is spliced from 3 exons. The record is from RefSeq and is a predicted model, not a curated record. NCBI's taxonomy places the organism in Eukaryota, Metazoa, Chordata, Actinopteri, Blenniiformes, Blenniidae.